RNAcentral lists this ribosomal RNA (460 nucleotides) under uncultured bacterium. Its description in RNAcentral is "partial 16S ribosomal RNA". It matches the Rfam family "Bacterial small subunit ribosomal RNA", at positions 338 to 795 of the family's 1533-position model. The record is from RNAcentral.
CCUACGGGUGGCAGCAGUGAGGAAUAUUGGUCAAUGGACGAGAGUCUGAACCAGCCAAGUAACGUGAAGGAUGACUGCCCUACGGGUUGUAAACUUCUUUUAUAAAGGAAUAAAACGAGGCACGUGUGCCUUUUUGCAUGUACUUUAUGAAUGAGGAUCGGCUAACUCCGUGCCAGCCGCCGCGGUAAUACGGAGGAUCCGAGCGUUAUACGGAUUUGUUGGGUUUAAAGGGAGCGUAGAUGGGUUGUUAAGUCAGUUGUGACAGUUUGCGGCUCAACCGUAAAAUUGCAAUUGAUACUGGCAGUCUAGAGUACAGUUGAGGUAGGCGGAAUGCGUGGUGUAGCGGUGAAAUGCUUAGAUAUCACGAAGAACCCCGAUUGCGAAGGCAGCUUACUAAACUGUGACUGACAUUGAUGCUCGAAAGUGUGGGUAUCAAACAGGAUUAGAUACCCCGGUAGUC